ACAUGCAAGUCGAACGGUGAAGGCGGAGCUUGCUCUGCUGGAUCAGUGGCGAACGGGUGAGUAACACGUGAGCAAUCUGCCCCUGACUCUGGGAUAAGCGCUGGAAACGGCGUCUAAUACUGGAUACGAGCUGCGAAGGCAUCUUCAGCAGCUGGAAAGAACUUCGGUCAGGGAUGAGCUCGCGGCCUAUCAGCUUGUUGGUGAGGUAAUGGCUCACCAAGGCGUCGACGGGUAGCCGGCCUGAGAGGGUGACCGGCCACACUGGGACUGAGACACGGCCCAGACUCCUACGGGAGGCAGCAGUGGGGAAUAUUGCACAAUGGGCGCAAGCCUGAUGCAGCAACGCCGCGUGAGGGACGACGGCCUUCGGGUUGUAAACCUCUUUUAGCAGGGAAGAAGCGAAAGUGACGGUACCUGCAGAAAAAGCGCCGGCUAACUACGUGCCAGCAGCCGCGGUAAUACGUAGGGCGCAAGCGUUAUCCGGAAUUAUUGGGCGUAAAGAGCUCGUAGGCGGUUUGUCGCGUCUGCUGUGAAAUCCCGAGGCUCAACCUCGGGUCUGCAGUGGGUACGGGCAGACUAGAGUGCGGUAGGGGAGAUUGGAAUUCCUGGUGUAGCGGUGGAAUGCGCAGAUAUCAGGAGGAACACCGAUGGCGAAGGCAGAUCUCUGGGCCGUAACUGACGCUGAGGAGCGAAAGGGUGGGGAGCAAACAGGCUUAGAUACCCUGGUAGUCCACCCCGUAAACGUUGGGAACUAGUUG
RNAcentral lists this ribosomal RNA (758 nucleotides) under Microbacterium lacticum. Its description in RNAcentral is "bacterial SSU rRNA". It matches the Rfam family "Bacterial small subunit ribosomal RNA", at positions 53 to 822 of the family's 1533-position model. The record is from RNAcentral. Lineage: Bacteria; Bacillati; Actinomycetota; Actinomycetes; Micrococcales; Microbacteriaceae.